Heterocephalus glaber (naked mole-rat) is the source of this 433-nucleotide non-coding RNA. The record is from RefSeq and is a predicted model, not a curated record. NCBI's taxonomy places the organism in Eukaryota, Metazoa, Chordata, Mammalia, Rodentia, Bathyergidae.
CAUGAGCAGCCAUCCCCACCAUGCCCCUCUGCCAUAAUGUCCUGCCUGGGAGCCACUGGACUAUGGACUCUACAAACUGUGAGGCAAAAUAAACCUUUCCUCAUUUAAGCUGUGACGAGACAAACCAUGCUUCUGCCACAUCCACACAGGACAUUUUGGAUCAAGUGACUUCUGAGAAGAAAACUGAGGCUCAGCCUGUCCACCAAGCUUACCAAAUGAGCUCGUUUGAACAGCCCUUCCAUGCUCCAUAUCAUGGAUCUAGAGCUGGAAUAGCUACUCAAUUUAGCACUGCCAACAGACUGGUGAACCUGGGGGAACCAGGGACAAGUGCUGAAUGUUCAGAAUUUCCCUUGGUGAAUGUAAAUGAUAACAGAGCUGGGAUGACAUCUUCAGCAGAUGCCACAACUGGCCAGACUUUUGGCUAAAAAAAAAA